Molecule: long non-coding RNA, 1238 nt
Filed under: Aplysia californica (California sea hare)
Lineage: Eukaryota; Metazoa; Mollusca; Gastropoda; Aplysiida; Aplysiidae
Description: uncharacterized LOC101849996, transcript variant X3
Source: RNAcentral
CGAAGCCCCUCGGCUUGUCUGAGUGAGUGUGUGCGUGUGUUUGUCUCGAGCUGGGACGGGAGUUUUACUUGUUCAACAUGUGUGUUUUAAGUGAUAAAUGUACUUUAGAGCACAACCAUAACUGAUUUCUCGGGAUCAGUAGGAUUAUCACAGCAGUUAGCGCUGAAACGUGAAAUGAAGCGUUCUGAAUCCAACCUUGAAGUUCUAUUGUGGAGCUUAGUUUUUAAUUUUUAAGCCAUCGAUUGUGCUUAUUGCGUGUGAAGUUGAUUCAGCUAUUCAACAAUAACGGUGUUAUCAAUCAUUAUCCAUUUAUUUGACACAUAUGAAUAAGAAAAAUGCGGCCUGUCACAAAACUACAAUCACUUCUUAAUAAGGCCUAAUUUUUCUAUUUGAACACGUUUUAUAAUUCCCAACAAUUGGCGGCAGCCUCCAUUGAUCGUAAUCAUAGUUUAAUUUCAAAAUGAUUUAUUACCUCUGAGCGACUACAAAUCUCUACCGUAUAAAGAAUCCACUUCACUUUAAGUCCGAGUGAUGUACUUUACUUUUCAACGUCUCCCAUUCACUUUACGGAUCCCUGGAAUCAUUGUGUGAGCAACUCAUUCGGAACUGAGCGUGGGAUUAAAAAGAAACUCCACUAGCAUUUCCCAAGGGUAAAAGGCUAUAACGCCAAAGAAAGUGAGGCGUCUCUUGAUGUGAGAAAGAACAGCACUAUUGCGUGAGAUCAGUAUUCUACGAUCCAGGCUUUGAUGACAGACGACGUGUGAAUCUUGAAACGUUACUUCAGAGCACCUGAGGUUGAUCUCUUGGCUGAUCUGUGGUGAAAUUGGAGUUCAUUUUUUUGGUGAAUUUACUCAAGUGAACUUAUAACAAACUGGAUUUUGGAGGAUUCCAUAUUGUGUGCAUUUCUGUUUUGGGACGCUAUUUUCUGGAUAUAUUCAAACUGUGAAGACAAGUGAAUAACUAAUCCCGGUAAGUUUGUUUUAUUCACUAUACUUCCUAUCUUCGUUAAGUGCCUAUUGUAAUUCAUGUUGCUGUUGUUGUUUUUGUGCUGCUGCUGGUGCUGUUACUGCUGUUAUUGUUGUUAUUUCUUGUUUUUUGUUUUUGUUAUUUUUGUUGUUGUUAUUUCUGUUUCAAUUUCCCUUUUAAUAAAGAGCCCAUGCUCAUCUACAUAUACAUUAUUAUUAUCGACCUGUUCUUUAGUAGUAGGGGAAAUAAUCAACAUGUUUCAAAAAAAAAAA